Xiphophorus couchianus (Monterrey platyfish) is the source of this 984-nucleotide long non-coding RNA. RefSeq lists it as uncharacterized. NCBI's taxonomy places the organism in Eukaryota, Metazoa, Chordata, Actinopteri, Cyprinodontiformes, Poeciliidae. The record is from RefSeq and is a predicted model, not a curated record. The transcript has 3 exons.
UCCACUUCCGCUUAGCAUACGCAUAUACAUUCAAAUCAUACCAGAUUUCACUUUAAUCUAACAAGAUCUAGGUUUGUUGGCGGACCAGAGUUUGCGUCUUUGGUCACAUCUCCCCAAGCAAACCGGACUUUCUAUAUAGAUUAAAUCGGAUUGAACGUGGCUGGUGUGAAUGCAACCUAAGUUUAAUUUGAUAAAGUCCGGUAUCAUGGAUGUGGAGCUUAUUUAUGAUAGGAUACUCAGACAACUCCUCUAUCCCAACAACAACAGCAACGUUUCUCUAUGAAGUUUGUGGCCUUCUAUAUCAUAUGUAUAACUGCUGCUGAAUGCCUUGUGAUGUGACUACUACAGGAAAAACCAAGAAAACUAAGAAGCAGGGAGAAUAUUUUCCCCUUCAGGAUUCAGUUUCACGAGUGGACAGAUGCUGUGAAAAUCUGGUCCGUCACAGAUGCAACGGAUUUUACAACCAGCACAUGGUACAGUAAACAGCUUGCAGAGCUGAUCGAUUGAGCUGGGAGUCGGUGACAUCGAACCUGGCCACUGUCUUCCACUCUUCCCAGCUUCACAGAGACGGAGAUUUCACUGCAGUCACAGGACUGCCAGGAAAAUGGGAUUAUCUGCCAUAAAUGCCAGCAAAUGGGAGAUGAGUAUUUGUAGUCACAGAUUUUCAAUGGGAAAAUCUCUAGGAAUGAAAUCUCUUACAGUUUUUGUUUCCUUUGUUUUGUUUUUUUUGCUUGAAAGUACCCUUGAGCCUAGCAUUUAAUUAUUGACUACUGAGCAGCAUCAGGGCUCAGCUGCAUUGAGCAAUUUCUUAAUGCGAAAGGAGGUUUUUCUUUUAUUUACACCUGCUGUGGACUGAAAAAUGUGAUUUAAAGAGACAACUGAGACUUAAAAUGCUAAAUAAAAACACAGCUUUUUAGAGAACACUGGAGAGCAACAAAAAACUUAAAAAGAUGUCAAAUAAAAACAGAGUUUUUGGGCGUUACA